AGAGUUUGAUCCUGGCUCAGAAUCAACGCUGGCGGCGUGCCUAACACAUGCAAGUCGAACGAGAAAGUGGAGCAAUAUCUUGAAGUUGGAGUGGCGCAAGGGUGCGUAACACGUGGGUAAUUUGCCGCGAAGUUGGGGAUAACUCGCUGAAAGGCGAGCUAAUACCGAAUGUGAAAAUUGGGAGGCAUCUUCCGAUUUUUAAAGUUGGGGACCGUAAGGCCUGACGCUCCACGAUAAGCCCGCGGCCUAUCAGCUAGUUGGUGAGGUAACGGCUCACCAAGGCUAAGACGGGUAGCUGGUCUGAGAGGACGACCAGUCCCACUGGAACUGAGACACGGUCCAGACACCUACGGGUGGCAGCAGUCGAGAAUUUUUCUCAAUGGGCGAAAGCCUGAAGGAGCGACGCCGCGUGGGGGAUGAAGGGCUUCGGCUCG
This 434-nucleotide ribosomal RNA is filed under the name uncultured bacterium. Its description in RNAcentral is "bacterial SSU rRNA". It matches the Rfam family "Bacterial small subunit ribosomal RNA", at positions 8 to 425 of the family's 1533-position model. The record is from RNAcentral.